AACUUUGAUCGUUCACUCUUCCGUGACUGCAGUACACCUGCAAAGUGUUAGCACUCGUUAGCUUGUCAUUAGCGUUUUCUUUUCUCCUCUCCUCUCCUCUCUCACGCUGCAGUUUUUCACAAGUUCAUCAAACAACCGCAGUAAGAAUAUUUCAUCAAGCACGGUGAGGACACGUUGGAGGCUGUGGAGAAGCAGAUUCGUGACCUGGAGGUGAGGCAGGCGCAGCUGAGAGAGCGGAGAGCCGCGCAGGAAUCAUCCCGGGCUGACGCUCACAAGUCCAGGGUUAGCAUACAGCGCGCUGCUAACAGUUCCACCACGUCUACUCCUGAUCGAGACGGUUCGCAGCACGACGCCCGCGCCGACGAUCGUCGUGUCAGGACCACUGCCCACGUAUCGAUGAGGACACGAAAGGUUCAGUAGACUUGUUGCUUUAAAUGAAAGGUUGUUGUCAUGGUGUAAAGAACAGAAACUGCUAUUUGUUAAUAACUGGAAUCUUUUCUGGGAGCGUCCUAGGCUGUUUCGCGCUGAUGGAUUACACCCCAGCAGAGUCGGAGCGGAGUUUCUCUCUGACAACAUCUCCAGGACACUUCGCUCCAUGUGACUAACACCGCUCCAGAACCACAGAAAACCACAGACAUCGCUCAAGAACCACAGACACCACUCCAGAACCACAGAGAACCACAGAGACUGCUCCAGAACCACAGAAAACCACAGACAUAACUCAAGAACCAGAGACUGCUCCAGAACCACAGACACCACUCCAGAACCACAGAGAACCACAGACACCACUCCAGAACCACAGAGAACCACAGAGACUGCUCCAGAACCACAGACACCGCUCCAGAACCACAGACACCGCUCCAGAACCACAGAGAACCACAGACACCGCUCCAGAACCACAGAGAACCACAGAGACUGCUCCAGAACCACAGACACCGCUCCAGAACCACAGAGAACCACAGACACCGCUCCAGAACCACAGAGAACCACAGAGACUGCUCCAGAACCACAGACACCGCUCCAGAACCACAGAGAACCACAGACACCGCUCCAGAACCACAGAGAACCACAGAGACUGCUUCAGAACCACAGACACCACUCCAAAACCAAAGAGAACCACAGACACCACUCAGAAUUAUAGAGAACCACAAACACCGUUGCAGAACCACAGACACCUCUCCAGAACCACAGAGAACCAAAGACACCGCUCCAGAACCACAGAGAACCACAGCCACCACUCCAGAAUUAUAGAGAACCACAAACACCGUUGCAGAACCACAGACACCUCUCCAGAACCACAGAGAACCACAGACACCGCUCCAGAACCACAGAGAACCACAGCCACCACUCCAGAACCACAGACACCACUCCAGAACUACAAAGAACCACAGA
Carassius gibelio (silver crucian carp) is the source of this 1392-nucleotide long non-coding RNA. RefSeq lists it as uncharacterized. The record is from RefSeq and is a predicted model, not a curated record. Lineage: Eukaryota; Metazoa; Chordata; Actinopteri; Cypriniformes; Cyprinidae. The transcript is spliced from 3 exons.